Molecule: ribosomal RNA, 248 nt
Filed under: uncultured Muribaculaceae bacterium
Lineage: Bacteria; Pseudomonadati; Bacteroidota; Bacteroidia; Bacteroidales; Muribaculaceae
Description: partial 16S ribosomal RNA
Rfam family: Bacterial small subunit ribosomal RNA
Source: RNAcentral
UACGGGGGGUGCAAGCGUUGUCCGGAAUCAUUGGGCGUAAAGAGUUCGUAGGUGGCACGUAAAGUCUGGUGUUAAAGGCGGAAGCUCAACUUCCGUAGGGCACUGGAUACUGGCGAGCUAGAAUGCGGUAGAGGUAAAGGGAAUUCCUGGUGUAGCGGUGAAAUGCGUAGAUAUCAGGAGGAACAUCGGUGGCGUAAGCGCUUUACUGGGCCGUAAUUGACACUGAGGAACGAAAGCCGGGGUAGCAA